UAUCUCUGUAGAGUCUGCAUAUCAAUAAGCGGAGGAAAAGAAACUAACUAGGAUUCCCUCAGUAACGGCGAGUGAAGCGGGAAGAGCUCAAAUUUGAAAUCUUCAAGGUUCUACCUUGACGAAUUGUAGUUUAAAGAAGUGUUUUCUGUUAGAGUUCGAGUAGCAAAAGUUCUUUGGAAUAGGGACAUCAUAGAGGGUGAGAAUCCCGUAUUUGACCGUUAUUCAUUCUAGCUUGUGCGAUACACUUUCAAAGAGUCGGAUUGUUUGGGAAUGCAGUCCAAAAUGGGUGGUAAAUUUCAUCUAAAGCUAAAUAUUGGCGAGAGACCGAUAGCGAACAAGUACCGUGAGGGAAAGAUGAAAAGAACUUUGAAAAGAGAGUUAAACAGUACGUGAAAUUGUCAAAAGGGAAGCGUUUGACACCAGUGUUGUUUUUCUCAAAAAUCAAUUAAGAAUGGCAUGAUUUUGUGUUGUAUUGACCUUUAUCAGCUUUCUGCACUCUUUUCUUGAGUCUUUUUUAAUGCACUUUUCGGUUAACAAGUCAACAUCAAUUUCUUCUGUUGUAAAAGAGUCAUUGGAAGGUGGCUUUCACUUCGGUGAAAGUGUUUAUAGCCUUUGGCCUCUGCAAUCGGAGAGAUUGAGGUCUGCAGCGUAGAUCCUUCGGGGUUAGAUACAGUUAGAUGCUAAGUUAUAGCCUUUUCAUAGACAACUUGUUGACUAUGAUCAGUCAUGUAGCUUACUCGCUUAUGCUAUUUUACCUACGCUUAGGAUGUUGACGAGACUGUCGAUCUC
Molecule: ribosomal RNA, 789 nt
Filed under: uncultured Neocallimastigales
Lineage: Eukaryota; Fungi; Neocallimastigomycota; Neocallimastigomycetes; Neocallimastigales
Description: partial large subunit ribosomal RNA
Rfam family: Eukaryotic large subunit ribosomal RNA
Source: RNAcentral